AUUGAACGCUGGCGGCAUGCCUUACACAUGCAAGUCGAGCGGUAACAGGUCUUCGGAUGCUGACGAGUGGCGAACGGGUGAGUAAUACAUCGGAACGUGCCCGAUCGUGGGGGAUAACGAAGCGAAAGCUUUGCUAAUACCGCAUAAGAUCUACGGAUGAAAGCAGGGGACCGCAAGGCCUUGCGCGAACGGAGCGGCCGAUGGCAGAUUAGGUAGUUGGUGGGAUAAAAGCUUACCAAGCCGACGAUCUGUAGCUGGUCUGAGAGGACGACCAGCCACACUGGGACUGAGACACAGCCUAGACUCCUACGGGAGGCAGCAGUGGGGAAUUUUGGACAAUGGGCGAAAGCCUGAUCCAGCCACGCCGCGUGCAGGAUGAAGGCCUUCGGGUUGUAAACUGCUUUUGUACGGAACGAAAAGACUCUUUCUAAUAAAGAGGGUCCAUGACGGUACCGUAAGAAUAAGCACCGGCUAACUACGUGCCAGCCGCCGCCGUAA
This 498-nucleotide ribosomal RNA is filed under the name uncultured bacterium. RNAcentral's name for it is "partial 16S ribosomal RNA". It matches the Rfam family "Bacterial small subunit ribosomal RNA", at positions 30 to 523 of the family's 1533-position model. The record is from RNAcentral.